GAGUUUGAUUAUGGCUCAGGACAAACGCUGGCGGCGUGCAUAACACAUGCAAGUCGAACGAAAUCUACAUGAUUUAGUGGCGAACGGGUGAGUAACACGUGAGAAACCUGCCUUACACAGAGGGAUAGCCGUUGGAAACGACGAUUAAUACCUCAUGACACCGUGACAUCGCAUGAUGAUGCGGUCAAAGAUUUAUCGGUGUAAGAUGGUCUCGCGCCUGAUUAGCUGGUUGGUGGGGUAACGGCCUACCAAGGCGACGAUCAGUAGCCGAUCUGAGAGGGUGGACGGCCACAUUGGGACUGAGACACGGCCCAAACUCCUACGGGAGGCAGCAGUGGGGAAUUUUGCACAAUGGGGGAAACCCUGAUGCAGCGACGCCGCGUGAACGAAGAAGGCCUUCGGGUUGUAAAGUUCUGUCCUUGGUGAAGAUAAUGACA
RNAcentral lists this ribosomal RNA (437 nucleotides) under Helcococcus sp. canine oral taxon 069. Its description in RNAcentral is "bacterial SSU rRNA". It matches the Rfam family "Bacterial small subunit ribosomal RNA", at positions 9 to 456 of the family's 1533-position model. The record is from RNAcentral. Lineage: Bacteria; Bacillati; Bacillota; Tissierellia; Tissierellales; Peptoniphilaceae.